CAGCUGACGAGUUCCAAAUAGGACGAAAUGUACGUCCUG
Schistosoma mansoni is the source of this 39-nucleotide non-coding RNA. The record is from Rfam. Lineage: Eukaryota; Metazoa; Platyhelminthes; Trematoda; Strigeidida; Schistosomatidae.